This is a non-coding RNA of Elaeis guineensis (African oil palm), 1586 nucleotides long. NCBI's taxonomy places the organism in Eukaryota, Viridiplantae, Streptophyta, Magnoliopsida, Arecales, Arecaceae. The record is from RefSeq and is a predicted model, not a curated record.
GUCGGCAAACUUGUGACGACUCUUUGUGAAGCCCUCCGAAAGCAGUGCUUGCGAAGGAGGCGCGCCCAUUUUGGUGGUCCCUCUCUCCCUUCCUCCGCUCUUCUUCCGGCGUGCUCCGUAAAAUCUAGGGUUUCGAUAACCGGGCGAGCCAAGGUUCUUUCUUCCUCCGAAUUGUUCUUCUUCUUAACAGGUAAUGGCGGCGGAAACAUCUCGGUCAUUCGGGAAGAAGCGCGCCCGGGACGAGGAGAGCGUUCUGGAUAAGGGAGAUGCCGAUGGAACCCUAGGGCUAGAGAAUAAUCUGACAUUUAGUGAUACGUUGAUAGCUCUUCAAAUGAUGCGUGCACAAUUUCCAAAUAUUGAGAAGGUUGCCACGCAGCCUUUCAUCUUACGUUCACAAUUGUAUAGUAGCGUAAAGGACCGGACACAAGUGGAUAGAAACCUGGAGUCAUUGAAGGAGGAGAAGGCCCUGCGCUUAUUCAAACUAAAUACUGGCCAAGAUGAUCAUGCGAUAAUGUUCUUAGAUGAUUACCUCAAACAGGUGGCACUUGCUGUGAAGAGGUUAGAGAUAAAAAAUCAACAAGAUAUUGAGGUUUUUGAGUGGUUCAAGAAAUAUGUUAUCGAGACAAAAUUGGAUGUUAGCAUAGACCAUCAGGAGUUGUGCUCACUCUUGUCAUGUGGAGGUGAAGUGAAAGACAAACAUGUUACACUUUUAAUUGGUGCUGGUCUCCUUAAUCGCCAGUUGAUUGAUCCAAAUGUGUACUGGUUCACAAUUCCAAAUAUUGGGUCGAUAUUGAAGGGUCUCUCACAAGGAAGAAAGGAGCUCCUCUCAUUCUUAAAUCGUAGAAAAUUCAAAGAGAUGCUGCUUGCUCCUUUGGAGAAGAAACAGCUGCGCUUUUCUCCUCUUGAUAUGCGGUUCCAUCUUCGAGAUCUUAUUGGGUCUGGUCACCUGAAAACAGUUCAAACCCCAACCGGGUUACUUGUCCGAGUCUCAAAAGAUUAAGACACAGGGUCGUCUCUUCUUUGGAGAUUUGAUCUGGACUUGGUACAACUUUCGAAGAAUUCAGUAAUAAAAGCAGAGAUCUAAGAUACCCACAGCACCACAAGGCUCGGGGGGGCAUGAUGCUGACUCGCCGUUUGUUUGUGUACCUGGUGGGAUCGACCCGUGACCUCAACCCGUGGACCCUCAUUUCCCGAUUGGUGAGCAACGUCUCGACGUGUCUAAUCCCAUAUAGUCUAUCAAAGUGUGUACAGUAUAUCUCAAAUUAUUGGUACUUUUGUCGCUCAUGCUUCCCUGUCAAGAAUUGGGUCAGUAUCCAUCCCGAAGAAUGCUUGUGGACAACCAUUUCCCACCUUCCCAAGCCAUCCCCUAGCGCUAAAUACAACCCUAUCUGGCUAGAGGAGCCUCUUUUUAUUUUUAUUAUUAUCAUUUUUAAAUGUGUUUUGUGGCACCGUGACCAAUCCCCAUCUUGGUGAAUGAAAUGACGAUAGACUACGACCAUUCAUGUAGAAUAUUAUGUCCCCUCGAAUUGUUUUGCAAAGGGCGGCAGGUUUUUAUCUGUUUCUUAUAUAACAAACGCCAUCACUGU